AUGUGAUCGUCUCUCGCAUAUCAAUAAGCGGAGGAAAAGAAACUAACAAGGAUUCCCCUAGUAACGGCGAGUGAAGCGGGAAGAGCUCAAAUUUGAAAUCUUAAAGGGUUUCCCUUUACGAAUUGUAGUUUAAAGAAGUGUUUUCUGUUGAGGUUUUGGUAAAAGUUCUUUGGAAUAGGACAUCAUAGAGGGUGAGAAUCCCGUAUUUGACCUUUACUUUCAACUUUGUGAUACACUUUCAAAGAGUCGGAUUGUUUGGGAAUGCAGUCCAAAAUGGGUGGUAAAUUUCAUCUAAAGCUAAAUAUUGGCGAGAGACCGAUAGCGAACAAGUACCGUGAGGGAAAGAUGAAAAGAACUUUGAAAAGAGAGUUAAACAGUACGUGAAAUUGUCAAAAGGGAAGCGUUUGACACCAGUGUUGUUUUUCUGAAAAUCAAUUAAAGAACUGUUUAUGCUAAGUUGUUUAGACUUUAUCAGCUAACUGUUUAGUUUUGAGCUUUUCUUUAAUGCACUUUUCAGUUAACAAGUCAACAUCAAUUUCUUUUGCUGUAAAAAAGCUUGAGGAAGGUGGCUUGAGAUUCGUCUUAAGUGUUUAUAACCUCAUGCCUAUGCAGUCGGAGAGAUUGAGGUCUGCAGCGUAGAUCCUUCGGGGCUAAAUGCAUUUGUGCUAAGUUAUAGCAUUUUAUAGACAACUUGUUGACUAUGAUUUGUCUUGUAGCUUACUCGCUUAUGUUAUUUUACCUACGCUUAGGAUGUUGAAGACUCUACAGAGAUA
RNAcentral lists this ribosomal RNA (773 nucleotides) under uncultured Neocallimastigales. RNAcentral describes it as "partial large subunit ribosomal RNA". It matches the Rfam family "Eukaryotic large subunit ribosomal RNA", at positions 24 to 633 of the family's 3401-position model. Lineage: Eukaryota; Fungi; Neocallimastigomycota; Neocallimastigomycetes; Neocallimastigales. The record is from RNAcentral.